GGGGGUAACCGGUAUCGAUUGAUGGGAAAGUAAAAGAGGUGCAAAGGUGAGGGAAGCGCGGCUCACUAAAAACGCUUAUCUAAUAAUCGCAAAUGACGAUUUUAACCAAGAACUAGCAGCUUAAUAACCUGGCUACUCUUGAGGCGACGGCAGCCAAUAAACAGAAAGCCGUACUUGAGAUACCUUAGUGCUUUUGAUUGUUUUGGCCAUAAUAAAACGAUCUAGUCAAGUGGGAUGUCUGACGAAAAAAACAGCCCUAACUUUGUGAAUGACCCUUUUACGGAACUAGACAAGACGGGAGUUCGAUUCUCCCUACCUCCACCA
RNAcentral lists this transfer-messenger RNA (324 nucleotides) under bacterium. It matches the Rfam family "transfer-messenger RNA". From Rfam's summary of the family: Bacterial tmRNA, also known as 10Sa RNA or SsrA, is named for its dual tRNA and mRNA-like properties. Its role is to liberate the mRNA from a stalled ribosome. The record is from RNAcentral.